RNAcentral lists this ribosomal RNA (253 nucleotides) under uncultured bacterium. RNAcentral's name for it is "partial 16S ribosomal RNA". It matches the Rfam family "Bacterial small subunit ribosomal RNA", at positions 524 to 776 of the family's 1533-position model. The record is from RNAcentral.
UACGUAGGUGGCAAGCGUUGUCCGGAUUUAUUGGGUUUAAAGGGUGCGUAGGCGGCUUGAUAAGUCAGUGGUGAAAGCCGAUCGCUUAACGAUCGAACUGCCAUUGAUACUGCCAGGCUUGAGUAUAGUUGAGGUAGGCGGAACGGGUCAUGUAGCGGUGAAAUGCAUAGAUAUGACCCGGAACACCGAUUGCGAAGGCAGCCUACUAAGCAAUUAUUGACGCUGAGGCACGAAAGCGUGGGGAUCAAACAGG